GUCCCAGUGGCCUAAUGGAUAAGGCAUUGGCCUACUAAGCCAGGGAUUGUGGGUUCGAGUCCCAUCAUGGGAUG
Molecule: non-coding RNA, 74 nt
Organism: Erpetoichthys calabaricus (reedfish)
Lineage: Eukaryota; Metazoa; Chordata; Cladistia; Polypteriformes; Polypteridae
Source: the annotation of a RefSeq genome assembly